This 85-nucleotide non-coding RNA is filed under the name Methylovorus glucosotrophus. RNAcentral describes it as "Methylovorus glucosetrophus c-di-GMP sequence". It matches the Rfam family "c-di-GMP-I riboswitch aptamer". From Rfam's summary of the family: GEMM was predicted in a large-scale screen for bacterial structured RNA regulatory elements. Genes associated with GEMM are involved in a diverse array of functions, including chemotaxis regulation, signal transduction, secretion and chitin. The record is from RNAcentral. Lineage: Bacteria; Pseudomonadati; Pseudomonadota; Betaproteobacteria; Nitrosomonadales; Methylophilaceae. RNAcentral also lists the same sequence under 1 other name.
GUUAUUGAAAGGCAAACCUGCUGAAAGGCAGGGACGCAAAGUUUCCGACCUAAGGGCGCAUGCCUAAGGUAGCGGGACUGCCGUU